Molecule: ribosomal RNA, 354 nt
Filed under: Triticum aestivum (bread wheat)
Lineage: Eukaryota; Viridiplantae; Streptophyta; Magnoliopsida; Poales; Poaceae
Description: partial small subunit ribosomal RNA
Source: RNAcentral
AUGGCUCAUAAUCCAUCAAGCCCGUCUAGAAAACCAAAUGACCGGAGCAUCUGGGACCUUAUAUGGAAGGUGAAAGCCCCCGGAAAACUGCGUAUCUUUGCUUGGAGAGUGGCUACUAAAACCCUCGCCACAAAAGAAAACAAGUGGAAGAGAACACUUGAUCUGGAUACCACCUGUAGCAUUUGUGGUAAUGGAAAAGAGGAUGAGCACCAUGCGGUGGUCAUGUGUACAAAGAGCAGAGCGCUCCGAGCAGCGGUCAGAGAGAUAUGGCGGCUCCCUUCAGAAAGUAAAUUUUGGUACACAGGUGAUGACUGGCUACAAACCCUGCUAGACACAGAGAAUGAGGAGGGGUGA